RNAcentral lists this ribosomal RNA (1973 nucleotides) under Streptococcus pneumoniae. RNAcentral's name for it is "bacterial LSU rRNA". It matches the Rfam family "Bacterial large subunit ribosomal RNA", at positions 3 to 1999 of the family's 2925-position model. Lineage: Bacteria; Bacillati; Bacillota; Bacilli; Lactobacillales; Streptococcaceae. The record is from RNAcentral.
UUAAGUUAAUAAGGGCGCACGGUGGAUGCCUUGGCACUAGGAGCCGACGAAGGACGUGACAAACGACGAUAUGCCUUGGGUAGCUGUAAGUAAGCGAUGAUCCAGGGAUUUCCGAAUGGGGGAACCCAACAGGUAGUACCUGUUACCCACAUCUGUUAAGGAUGUGAGGAGGAAGACGCAGUGAACUGAAACAUCUAAGUAGCUGCAGGAAGAGAAAGCAAAAGCGAUUGCCUUAGUAGCGGCGAGCGAAACGGCAGAAGGGCAAACCGAAGAGUUUACUCUUCGGGGUUGUAGGACUGCAAUGUGGACUCAAAGAUUAUAGAAGAAUGAUUUGGGAAGAUCAGCCAAAGAGAGUAAUAGCCUCGUAUUUUAAAUAGUCUUUGUACCUAGCAGUAUCCUGAGUACGGCGGGACACGUGAAAUCCCGUCGGAAUCUGGGAGGACCAUCUCCCAACCCUAAAUACUCCCUAGUGACCGAUAGUGAACCAGUACCGUGAGGGAAAGGUGAAAAGCACCCCGGGAGGGGAGUGAAAUAGAACCUGAAACCGUGUGCCUACAACAAGUUCGAGCCCGUUAAUGGGUGAGAGCGUGCCUUUUGUAGAAUGAACCGGCGAGUUACGUUAUGAUGCGAGGUUAAGUUGAAGAGACGGAGCCGUAGGGAAACCGAGUCUGAAUAGGGCGCCUUAGUAUCAUGACGUAGACCCGAAACCAUGUGACCUACCCAUGAGCAGGUUGAAGGUGCGGUAAGACGCACUGGAGGACCGAACCAGGGCACGUUGAAAAGUGCUUGGAUGACUUGUGGGUAGCGGAGAAAUUCCAAACGAACUUGGAGAUAGCUGGUUCUCUCCGAAAUAGCUUUAGGGCUAGCGUCGACAUUAGAGAUUCUUGGAGGUAGAGCACUGUUUGGGUGAGGGGUCCAUCCCGGAUUACCAAUCUCAGAUAAACUCCGAAUGCCAAAGAAUUAUGGUCGGCAGUCAGACUGCGAGUGCUAAGAUCCGUAGUCGAAAGGGAAACAGCCCAGACCACCAGCUAAGGUCCCAAAAUAAUUGUUAAGUGGAAAAGGAUGUGGGGUUGCACAGACAACUAGGAUGUUAGCUUAGAAGCAGCUAUUCAUUCAAAGAGUGCGUAAUAGCUCACUAGUCGAGUGACCCUGCGCCGAAAAUGUACCGGGGCUAAAACAAUUUACCGAAGCUGUGGAUACCUUUAUAGGUAUGGUAGGAGAGCGUUCUAUGUGUGAUGAAGGUAUACCGUGAGGAGUGCUGGAACGCAUAGAAGUGAGAAUGCCGGUAUGAGUAGCGAAAGACAGGUGAGAAUCCUGUCCACCGUAAGACUAAGGUUUCCAGGGGAAGGCUCGUCCGCCCUGGGUUAGUCGGGACCUAAGGAGAGACCGAAAGGUGUAUCCGAUGGACAACAGGUUGAUAUUCCUGUACUAGAGUAUGUAGUGAUGGAGGGACGCAGUAGGCUAACUAAAGCAGACGAUUGGAAGAGUCUGUCUAAGCAGUGAGGUGUGAAUUGAGUCAAAUGCUUAAUUCUAUAACAUUGAGCUGUGAUGGGGAGCGAAGUUUAGUAGCGAAGUUAGUGACGUCACACUGCCAAGAAAAGCUUCUAGCGUUUAAACAUACUCUACCCGUACCGCAAACCGACACAGGUAGUCGAGGCGAGUAGCCUCAGGUGAGCGAGAGAACUCUCGUUAAGGAACUCGGCAAAAUGACCCCGUAACUUCGGGAGAAGGGGUGCUGACUUAAAGUCAGCCGCAGUGAAUAGGCCCAAGCAACUGUUUAUCAAAAACACAGCUCUCUGCUAAAUCGUAAGAUGAUGUAUAGGGGGUGACGCCUGCCCGGUGCUGGAAGGUUAAGAGGAGUGCUUAGCGUAAGCGAAGGUAUGAAUUGAAGCCCCAGUAAACGGCGGCCGUAACUAUAACGGUCCUAAGGUAGCGAAAUUCCUUGUCGGGUAAGUUCCGACCCGCACGAAAGG